Non-coding RNA from Chryseobacterium arachidis, 46 nucleotides. The record is from Rfam. NCBI's taxonomy places the organism in Bacteria, Pseudomonadati, Bacteroidota, Flavobacteriia, Flavobacteriales, Weeksellaceae.
AAUAGGACUCACGUCCUAUCCUUUAAUAAAUCGUCCCUUCGGGACU